RNAcentral lists this ribosomal RNA (450 nucleotides) under uncultured bacterium. RNAcentral describes it as "partial 16S ribosomal RNA". It matches the Rfam family "Bacterial small subunit ribosomal RNA", at positions 354 to 796 of the family's 1533-position model. The record is from RNAcentral.
GUCGAGAAUAAUUCACAAUGGGGGAAACCCUGAUGGUGCAACGCCGCGUGGAGGAUGAAGGUCUUCGGAUUGUAAACUCCUGUCAUCUGGGAGUAAGACCUGACGGUGAAUAGCCGGCAGGGUUGAUAGUACCAGAAGAGGAAGGGACGGCUAACUUCGUGCCAGCAGCCGCGGUAAUACGAAGGUCCCAAGCGUUGUUCGGAAUCACUGGGCGUAAAGGGAGCGUAGGCGGCGUGGUAAGUCAGAUGUGAAAUCCCGGGGCUCAACACCGGAACUGCAUCCGAUAAUGCCAUGCUUGAGGGCUGGAGAGGUAACUGGAAUUCUCGGUGUAGCAGUGAAAUGCGUGGAUAUCGAGAGGAACACUCGUGGCGAAGGCGAGUUACUGGACAGCAUCUGACGCGGAGGCACGAAGGCCAGGGGAGCGAAAGGGAUUAGAAACCCUAGUAGUCC